Molecule: ribosomal RNA, 498 nt
Filed under: Alteromonas sp. SCB33
Lineage: Bacteria; Pseudomonadati; Pseudomonadota; Gammaproteobacteria; Alteromonadales; Alteromonadaceae
Description: bacterial SSU rRNA
Rfam family: Bacterial small subunit ribosomal RNA
Source: RNAcentral
UAGUGAUCAUGGCUCAGAUUGAACGCUGGCGGCAGGCCUAACACAUGCAAGUCGAACGGUAACAGGAAGUGCUUGCACUUCGCUGACGAGUGGCGGACGGGUGAGUAAUGCUUGGGAACUUGCCUUUGCGAGGGGGAUAACAGUUGGAAACGACUGCUAAUACCGCAUAAUGUCUACGGACCAAACGGGGCUUAGGCUUCGGCGCAAAGAGAGGCCCAAGUGAGAUUAGCUAGUUGGUAAGGUAAAGGCUUACCAAGGCAACGAUCUCUAGCUGUUCUGAGAGGAAGAUCAGCCACACUGGAACUGAGACACGGUCCAGACUCCUACGGGAGGCAGCAGUGGGGAAUAUUGCACAAUGGGGGAAACCCUGAUGCAGCCAUGCCGCGUGUGUGAAGAAGGCCUUCGGGUUGUAAAGCACUUUCAGUUGUGAGGAAAAGUUAGUAGUUAAUACCUGCUAGCCGUGACGUUAACAACAGAAGAAGCACCGGCUAACUCCGU